This is a long non-coding RNA of Oreochromis aureus, 1407 nucleotides long. The record is from Ensembl. NCBI's taxonomy places the organism in Eukaryota, Metazoa, Chordata, Actinopteri, Cichliformes, Cichlidae.
UCGAGAAGAGGAUUGGUGAGUGCUUCACCAUGCAGUACAGUACAGUCUGAGCUGAUGAACCUACGAGAGGAAUUUCAAAUAAUACAGGCUGAGAAUGUCAAAUUAAGAGAAGAGGCAGAAAAAUCAAGAGGAGAAGCUAAAAAUUCAAAGUUUGAAACUGAAGUAGUAUUGCAGGAAUUACUGCAUGUGGGUCUAAAACUUAAAGUAGAGAAGAUGGGAAAACAACAGGCAGAAAAUGAGAAUGAAAACAUCAAGAAAGAACUGUUGGAAGCUCAAAAAGCAUUGGAGGAAGAGAAACCACAGCACAAGAAGCCAAAAAUAAAUAUCAAACUGCAAAGAAGGAGGCAGAAAAUGAGAAUGAAAACAUCAAGAAAGAACUGUUGGAAGCUCAAAAGCAUUGGAGGAAGAGAAAACCACAGCACAAGAAGCCAAAAAUAAAUAUCAAACUGCAAAGAAGGAGGCAGAAAACGUGAUGCAGGAAUUACAGGAGGUGCAGAAAGAUUUUGAAGAGGAAAAAGGAAAAUGCAGUUGGCAACACAAGAAGCUGAAAAUGUCAUGGCUGAAGCUGAAAGAGUAAGGAAGGAAUUCCUGCACGUAAAGCAACAACUUGAAGAGGAGAAAAACGUAAACAUGAGGCAGAAAAUGAGAUUGAAAAUAUGAAGAAAGAAUUGUUGGAAGCUCAAAAGUGUUGGAGGAAGAGAAAAUGAAAAUACAGGAAGCAAAGAAAGAAAUGGAAAAUACAAAGAGUUACACUCAAAACAUGAAGAAGAAGUUGCUGGAAACACAGGAAGCAAUAGAAAAAGAGACACGUGGAAAAUGGGAGGCAAAACAGGAAAGUGAAACUCUGAAGAAGGAACUGAUGAAAGUGCAAGAAGAACUUGCAGAAGAGAAAAUUGAGGUGAAGGUAUUCGAGAAAGAAAUGACAGGCUCUGCGAGGACCAAGAAAGACUGCAAAGAUGCACUUAAAGAAAUCCAAAAGCACAAAAAGGAAGCUAAAGAGCUCCUCAAACAGAAAGUGAAACUGGCCAAACAGCAGCUGAAAGACAAAUUUAAAGACGCCGAGGAGCAGCUAAACAAAACGUUGAAAGAGCUGAAGGCCAAAGAAAAAGAAAAGAAAGCCGAGGACACGAGGGGAUUCUGGAGCAGACUGCUGAGAAAGAACUGACCCAGCAGCAUCAAGUUUAAGGAGAUCAACAGCUUCUUCCUCCUUCCCCCUUUCUCCACCUUUCUUUCACCCCAUCCUUCUUCUCCUCUCUCUCUCUCUCAUCUUCUCUACCCUGACCUCUCACCUUUAACCCACUUUCUCUUUCACCGUCCCUCUCCUCCUAAAACUCCCCCCAAACUUUACUUGGGACGUUUGUUUGUUUUUUAAAAACUCUAAUCUGAAUACAUGUACUGAAAUACACA